GACGAACGCUGGCGGCGUGCUUAACACAUGCAAGUCGAACGGUAAGGCCCUUCGGGGUACACGAGUGGCGAACGGGUGAGUAACACGUGGGUGAUCUGCCCUGCACUUCGGGAUAACCCAGGGAAACCUGGGCUAAUACCGGAUAAGUAAACCUGUGGCAUCACAUGGUUUUGGAAAGUUUUUCGAUUAAGGAUGGAUGCGCGGCCUAUCAGCUUGUUGGUGAGGUAAUGGCUCACCAAGGCGACGACGGGUAGCCGGCCUGAGAGGGUGAACGGCCACACUGGGACUGAGACACGGCCCAGACUCCUACGGGAGGCAGCAGUGGGGAAUAUUGCGCAAUGGACGAAAGUCUGACGCAGCGACGCCUCGUGAGGGACGAAGGUCUUCGGAUUGUAAACCUCUUUCAGCAGGGACGAAGCGAAAGUGACGGUACCUGCAGAAGAAGCACCGGCUAACUAUGUGCCAGCCGCCGCCGUAA
RNAcentral lists this ribosomal RNA (478 nucleotides) under uncultured bacterium. RNAcentral describes it as "partial 16S ribosomal RNA". It matches the Rfam family "Bacterial small subunit ribosomal RNA", at positions 28 to 523 of the family's 1533-position model. The record is from RNAcentral.